AGAGUUUGAUUCUGGCUCAGAACGUACGCUGGCGGCACGCCUAACACAUGCAAGUCGAACGAAGUAGCAAUACUUAGUGGCAGACGGGUGAGUAACAUGUAGGUAUCUGCCCUUUGGCCUGGAAUAACACGAGGAAACUUGUGCUAAUACCGGAUAAGUCUUUACGGAGAAAGCUUUAUGCACCAUUGGAUGAGCCUGCACUUGAUUAGUUUGUUGGUGGGGUAAUGGCCUACCAAGACUUUGAUCAAUAGCUGAUUUGAGAGGAUGAUCAGCCACAUUGGGACUGAGACACGGCCCAAACUCCUACGGGAGGCAGCAGUGGGGAAUCUUGCACAAUGGAGGAAACUCUGAUGCAGCGAUGCCGCGUGAGUGAAGAAGGCCCUUGGGUUGUAAAGCUCUUUCGUCGGGGAAGAAAAUGACUGUACCCGAAUAAGAAGGUCCGGCUAACUUCGUGCCAGCCGCCGCGGUAAUAC
RNAcentral lists this ribosomal RNA (473 nucleotides) under uncultured bacterium. RNAcentral's name for it is "bacterial SSU rRNA". It matches the Rfam family "Bacterial small subunit ribosomal RNA", at positions 8 to 526 of the family's 1533-position model. The record is from RNAcentral.